AGAGCGAACGCUGGCGGCAGGCUUAACACAUGCAAGUCGAGCGGGCAUAGCAAUAUGUCAGCGGCAGACGGGUGAGUAACGCGUGGGAACGUACCUUUUGGUUCGGAACAACUGAGGGAAACUUCAGCUAAUACCGGAUAAGCCCUUACGGGGAAAGAUUUAUCGCCGAAAGAUCGGCCCGCGUCUGAUUAGCUAGUUGGUGAGGUAAUGGCUCACCAAGGCGACGAUCAGUAGCUGGUCUGAGAGGAUGAUCAGCCACAUUGGGACUGAGACACGGCCCAAACUCCUACGGGAGGCAGCAGUGGGGAAUAUUGGACAAUGGGCGCAAGCCUGAUCCAGCCAUGCCGCGUGAGUGAUGAAGGCCCUAGGGUUGUAAAGCUCUUUUGUGCGGGAAGAUAAUGACGGUACCGCAAGAAUAAGCCCCGGCUAACUUCGUGCCAGCAGCCGCGGUAAUACGAAGGGGGCUAGCGUUGCUCGGAAUCACUGGGCGUAAAGGGUGCGUAGGCGGGUCUUUAAGUCAGGGGUGAAAUCCUGGAGCUCAACUCCAGAACUGCCUUUGAUACUGAAGAUCUUGAGUUCGGGAGAGGUGAGUGGAACUGCGAGUGUAGAGGUGAAAUUCGUAGAUAUUCGCAAGAACAUCCAGUGGCGAAGGCGGCUACAACUUGCCUCGA
This 671-nucleotide ribosomal RNA is filed under the name uncultured bacterium. RNAcentral describes it as "bacterial SSU rRNA". It matches the Rfam family "Bacterial small subunit ribosomal RNA", at positions 26 to 737 of the family's 1533-position model. The record is from RNAcentral.